CAAAGGGCUCACGGAGGAUACCUAGGCACAUAGAGGCGAUGAAGGACGUGGUUACCUGCGAUAAGUCUCGGGGAGUUGGAAGCACACUUUGAUCCGGGAAUUUCCGAAUGGGGCAACCCCUUGAACGACCAACUGAAUAUAUAGGUUGGUGCGAGCUAACCCAGCGAACUGAAACAUCUUAGUAGCUGGAGGAAGAGAAAGUAAAUAACGACUCCCUCAGUAGCGGCGAGCGAACGGGGAAUAGCCCAAACCGAUAGUCUUGACUAUCGGGGUUGUGGGACAGCAACAUGGAUCAAUAAGUCUAGAAGAAACGUUUGAAUGGCGUGCCAUAGAGGGUGAAAGCCCCGUAAUCGAAAGGCAAGUUGACCUAGCUGGAUCCCGAGUAGCACGGAGCACGUGGAAUUCCGUGUGAAUCUGCGAGGACCACCUCGUAAGGCUAAGUACUACUAUGUGACCGAUAGUGCAACAGUACCGCGAGGGAAAGGUGAAAAGAACCCCGGGAGGGGAGUGAAAUAGAACAUGAAACCGUGAGCUUACAAGCAAUGGGAGCCCGACUAAUCGGGUGACCGUGUGCCUGUUGAAGAAUGAGCCGGCGACUUAUAGGCACUGGCGGGUUAAACCGGAAAUGGUGGAGCCACAGCGAAAGCGAGUCUUAAUAGGGCGUUUGUCAGUGUUUAUAGACCCGAACCCUGGUGAUCUAACCAUGGCCAGGAUGAAGCUUGGGUGAUACCAAGUGGAGGUCCGAACCGACUGAAGUUGAAAAUUCAGCGGAUGAGCUGUGGUUAGGGGUGAAAUGCCAAUCGAACCAGGAGCUAGCUGGUUCUCCCCGAAAUACGUUGAGGCGUAGCGUCUAGUGCUCCAGCAGGGGGGUAAAGCAACCAUUUCGGUGCGGGCUGCGAAAGCGGUACCAAAUCGAUAUGAACUCUGAAUACCCUGUGUGUAACUAGGCAGUCAGACUGUGGGGGAUAAGCUCCAUAGUCAAGAGGGAAACAGCCCAGACCGCCAGCUAAGGUCCCAAAAUUAACACUAAGUGAUAAAGGAGGUGGGAUUGCCCAGACAACCAGGAGGUUUGCCUAGAAGCAGCCAUCCUCAAAGGAGUGCGUAAUAGCUCACUGGUCGAGCGAUCCUGCGCCGAAAAUGAAUGGGGCUAAGUGUUAUACCGAAGCUGCGGAUAAAUUUAUUUAUGGUAGGGGAGCGUUCUAUGUUGGGUGAAGCGUUAGCGUAAGCGGACGUGGACGGCAUAGAAGUGAGAAUGUCGGCUUGAGUAGCGAAAACAUGGGUGAGAAUCCCAUGCCCCGAAACCCUAAGGGUUCCUCCGGCAGGCUCGUCCGCGGAGGGUUAGUCUGGACCUAAGGCGAGGCCGAAAGGCGUAGUCGAUGGAUAACAGGUCAAUAUUCCUGUACCAGAUGUGUUUUGGGAAGGGGGACGGAGAAGGCUAGCCAAUCCAGAUGUUGGUUACUGGUUCAAGCGUCCGAGGCUUUGAGAGGUGGCGAAAACACCUUGAGCUGAGGCGUGAGUACGAGCUGCUACGGCAGCGAAGUUGGUGAUGUCAUGCUUCCAAGAAAAGCCCUAUACCCGUUAAGGCACAAAUGCCAGUACCCGAAACCGACACAGGUGGGGUGGUAGAGAAUACCGAGGGGCGCGAGAUAACUCUCUCUAAGGAACUCGGCAAAAUGGCCCCGUAACUUCGGGAGAAGGGGUGCCAGCGAGAGCUGGUCGCAGUGAAGAGGCGCAAGCGACUGUUUACCAAAAACACAGGUCUCCGCUAAGUCGCAAGACGAUGUAUGGGGGCUGACACCUGCCCAGUGCCGGAAGGUUAAGGAAGCUGGUUAGCUUUUAGCAAAGCUGGCGACUGAAGCCCCGGUGAACGGCGGCCGUAACUAUAACGGUCCUAAGGUAGCGAAAUUCCUUGUCGGGUAAGUUCCGACCCGCACGAAAGGUGUAACGAUUUGCGCGCUGUCUCGGAGAGAGGCUCGGCGAAAUAGAAUUGUCUGUGAAGAUGCGGACUACAUACACCCGGACAGAAAGACCCUAUGAAGCUUUACUGUAGUUUGAUAUUGUGCUCGGGCUCUGAAUGCGCAGAAUAGGUGGGAGACGUUGAAAUAGUGCUUGUGGGUACUAUUGAGUCAUCCGUGAGAUACCACUCUUUCAGAGCUAGGGUUCUAACGCUUACCCGUUAUCCGGGAAGCGGACAGUAUCUGAUGGGCAGUUUGACUGGGGCGGUCGCCUCCUAAAAGGUAACGGAGGCGCACAAAGGUUCCCUCAGGCUGGUUGGAAAUCAGUCGUUGAGUGCAAAAGCAGAAGGGAGCUUGACUGUGAGACCUACAAGUCGAACAGGGACGAAAGUCGGUUUUAGUGAUCCGACGGUUCUGCGUGGAAGGGCCGUCGCUCAACGGAUAAAAGUUACUCUAGGGAUAACAGGCUGAUCUCCCCCAAGAGUUCACAUCGACGGGGAGGUUUGGCACCUCGAUGUCGGCUCAUCGCAACCUGGGGCUGAAGUCGGUCCCAAGGGUUGGGCUGUUCGCCCAUUAAAGCGGUACGCGAGCUGGGUUCAGAACGUCGUGAGACAGUUCGGUCCAUAUCCGGUGUAUGCGCAGGAAUAUUGAGAGGAUUUCUCCCUAGUACGAGAGGACCGGGAGGAACGCACCUCUGGUGUGCCAGUUAUCGUGCCAACGGUAAACGCUGGGUAGCCAUGUGCGGAGUGGAUAACCGCUGAAAGCAUCUAAGUGGGAAGCCCACCUCAAGAUGAGUAUUCCCAUGGCAUAAGCCAGUAAGGUCACGGGAAGAACACCCGUUGAUAGGCUCUACGUGGAAGCUUGGUAACAAGUGCAGCGGAGGAGUACUAAUAGACCGAGGGCUUGACCU
This 2865-nucleotide ribosomal RNA is filed under the name Prochlorococcus sp. AG-418-C09. Its description in RNAcentral is "bacterial LSU rRNA". It matches the Rfam family "Bacterial large subunit ribosomal RNA". Lineage: Bacteria; Bacillati; Cyanobacteriota; Cyanophyceae; Synechococcales; Prochlorococcaceae. The record is from RNAcentral.